This 479-nucleotide ribosomal RNA is filed under the name uncultured bacterium. RNAcentral's name for it is "bacterial SSU rRNA". It matches the Rfam family "Bacterial small subunit ribosomal RNA", at positions 96 to 562 of the family's 1533-position model. The record is from RNAcentral.
UGGCGAACGGGUGAGUAACACGUGGGGAAUCUGCCUAUAAGUGGGGGAUAACAUUCGGAAACGGAUGCUAAUACCGCAUAUAUUCAAAAACCGCAUGGUUUCUGAAAGAAAGACGGCUUUACUGUCGCUUAUAGAUGAUCCCGCGGCGUAUUAGUUAGUUGGUGGGGUAAUGGCCUACCAAGACCAUGAUACGUAGCCGACCUGAGAGGGUGAUCGGCCACACUGGGACUGAGACACGGCCCAGACUCCUACGGGAGGCAGCAGUAGGGAAUCUUCCACAAUGGGUGCAAACCUGAUGGAGCAAUGCCGCGUGAAUGAAGAAGGUCUUCGGAUCGUAAAGUUCUGUUAUUAGAGAAGAACAAGUCAAGGAGUAACUGUCUUGACUUUGACGGUACCUAACCAGAAAGUCACGGCUAACUACGUGCCAGCAGCCGCGGUAAUACGUAGGUGACAAGCGUUGUCCGGAAUUAUUGGGCGUA